CCUACGGGAGGCAGCAGUAGGGAAUCUUCCGCAAUGGACGAAUAGUUUCUGACGGAGCAACGGCCGCGUGAGUGAAGAAGGUUUUCGGAUCGUAAAACUCUGUUGUUAGGGAAGAACAAGUGCCGUUCGAAUAGGGCGGCCCUUGACGGUACCUAACCAGAAAGCCACGGCUAACUACGUGCAGCAGCCGCGGUAAUACGUAGGUGGCAAGCGUUGUCCGGAAUUAUUGGGCGUAAAGCGCGCGCAGGUGGUUUCUUAAGUCUGAUGUGAAAGCCCACGGCUCAACCGUGGAGGUCAUUGGAAACUGGGGAACUUGAGUGCAGAAGAGGAAAGUGGAAUUCCAAGUGUAGCGGUGAAAUGCGUAGAAUUUGGAGGAACCCAGUGGCGAAGGCGACUUUCUGGUCUGUAACUGACACUGAGGCGCGAAAGCGUGGGGAGCAACAGGAUUAGAUACCCUGGUAGUCCACGCCGUAAACGAUGAGUGCUAAGUGUUAGAGGGUUUCCGCCCUUUAGUGCUGCAGCUGACGCAUUAAGCACUCCGCCUGGGGAGUACGGUCAAGACUGAAACUCAAAGGAAUGACGGGGCCCGCCCAAGCCGGUGGAGCAUGUGGUUUAAUUCCGAAGCAACGCGAAGAACCUUAC
This 642-nucleotide ribosomal RNA is filed under the name bacterium HZ35-22. RNAcentral describes it as "bacterial SSU rRNA". It matches the Rfam family "Bacterial small subunit ribosomal RNA", at positions 338 to 974 of the family's 1533-position model. The record is from RNAcentral.